RNAcentral lists this ribosomal RNA (235 nucleotides) under uncultured bacterium. RNAcentral's name for it is "partial 16S ribosomal RNA". It matches the Rfam family "Bacterial small subunit ribosomal RNA", at positions 96 to 334 of the family's 1533-position model. The record is from RNAcentral.
UGGCGGACGGGUGAGUAAUGUCUGGGAAACUGCCCGAUGGAGGGGGAUAACUACUGGAAACGGUAGCUAAUACCGCAUAACGUCGCAAGACCAAAGAGGGGGACCUUCGGGCCUCUUGCCAUCGGAUGUGCCCAGAUGGGAUUAGCUAGUAGGUAAGGUAACGGCUUACCUAGGCGACGAUCCCUAGCUGGCCUGAGAGGAUGAUCAGCCACACUGGGACUGAGACACGGCCCAG